Molecule: long non-coding RNA, 1011 nt
Filed under: Canis lupus familiaris (dog)
Lineage: Eukaryota; Metazoa; Chordata; Mammalia; Carnivora; Canidae
Description: lncRNA (ENSCAFG00040020737.1)
Source: RNAcentral
AUGCUAGGCCGGGACCCCGCCGGGUGCCGCGACCUCGGGCUGGGGGCCCCGCAUCGCCCGUGCGUCCCUGCGGCCGUGCGAGCUGCCCCGGGGACACGGAGCCGCGGGCGCCCCGCGCGGGACCCCUGCCUCCGGCCGAGGGGGCGGGAGGGGGACGUGGUGCCGUGCUUAAGAGACCAUCGUCGUCGACUCGCCCGUCCUGAGCCUGGGGGACGCGCUCGGCGCCCCGGGUCCCCGAGCGCCGCGGGAACGGGGGUCCUGGCGGCGGCGGAGGCGGCGGAGGCGGCGGCGCGUGCGUCUCAGCCCCGGCCCCGGGCGGCCUCCCGGAGCGGAUCCCCGCUCAGCGGUCGUGCAUCCCUGGCUCGGUCCCGGGGAGGGCACUCGAGGCUCCGGGCACGCGGAGCUCCGGGCGCUGCGGCCGGCGGCGAGCGACGGUGCCCUCCUCCGGGCCGGUGGCCGCCGGGGCGCGAGGUGCCCCCGAGUGCGCCUGCCCCGGCGGGAGCCCGAGGCCCGCGGCGGGCCGUGCGCCCCUCUCCGCGCGCGCCCGGCUGCUCCACAGCGCCCGGGGUGUCCACCGGGGAGCGGCGCGCCGGAGCCGGGCUGCGCGGGACCUGUCAGCCGCCGCGGCCACUGCGCUCGCAGACGCUGCCCCGCCGCCGCCGCCACACGUGGGGCGCGGAGGGCAGCAAACUUGGCGGUGACGUCAGCGGCCCGGGCAGCACCGGCUCCCGGACGGGCGCGGCGGGGCGGACCCGGCGGGAUGGAGAAAAGGUGGCGCGGACCCCGCAGCGUCGGCCCAAUGGCAUCGGAGAGGGCGGGGGCGGCCGGGGCGACGCCCCUUCCCCACUCCCCCCCCCCCCCCGCUCCGCGCACCGCCGCAGCCUCGCCCCCUUUCCGGCGCGCGGGGGGCUGCGGGGGCUCCGGGGUCGUCUGAGCGACAGCGCGGGCCGGCCGGAUCCCCGGGGGCCUGACUUCCCCCCGAGCCGCCUCUCAGCCUCGGCUCAGCCCUGA